GACAAAACUCAAAUGAAAACCAAACCACUCCAUCUCAAGCCAAAGAAAAAACUGCACAAACAAACCCAAGCAAACACCAAAAAAAGUUUGCAGGAAAUGGAGCAAAGCAGAGCAAACAGAAAAGAGUGGCAGGGUGUUAAUUGAGACCUGAUAAUUAAAGUGAAGCACAGUCAAGGAACAGAUAUUCUUCCAGCUUUCAGUAUGAAAAUGAUGAUAGGUGGCACCUAUGGAUGCUCAGUGCUGUUUUGGUAACCCUGGGAAGCUGCAGUGAGAGCCUCGGUGACACACAAGUCUGUGCCUGACAAACAUUAGCAGCAAGAUGACCUGCAGUUUGAGUGUCUCACUGGCUGUUAUCCUGAUGGAAGGUGAAGCACUAUGACAUUUUGAUCUUGAAGUAUCCUUGGCAUUAAACUGGGGCAAAAAAAGAAGGAACAAGAAACGAACAUAAAGGGUGACUGUGAUUUAAAGAUUUCCCUGGAGAAGAUGAGCAAG
This is a long non-coding RNA of Myiozetetes cayanensis, 492 nucleotides long. RefSeq lists it as uncharacterized. The transcript has 4 exons. Lineage: Eukaryota; Metazoa; Chordata; Aves; Passeriformes; Tyrannidae. The record is from RefSeq and is a predicted model, not a curated record.